Molecule: ribosomal RNA, 253 nt
Filed under: uncultured bacterium
Lineage: Bacteria
Description: partial 16S ribosomal RNA
Rfam family: Bacterial small subunit ribosomal RNA
Source: RNAcentral
UACGGGGGGGGCAAGCGUUGUUCGGAAUUACUGGGCGUAAAGGGCUUGUAGGCGGCCAACUAAGUCAUACGUGAAAUCUCUCGGCUUAACCGGGGAACUGCGUCUGAUACUGGAUGGCUUGAGAUUGGGAGAGGGAUGCGGAAUUCCAGGUGUAGCGGUGAAAUGCGUAGAUAUCUGGAGGAACACCGGUGGCGAAGGCGGCAUCCUGGACCAACACUGACGCUGAGGAGCGAAAGCCAGGGGAGCAAACGGG